UACGUAGGUGGCAAGCGUUGUCCGGAAUUACUGGGUGUAAAGGGAGCGCAGGCGGGGACUUAAGUUGGAUGUGAAAUACCCGGGCUCAACUCGGGGGCUGCAUCCAAAACUGGGACUCUUGAGUGAAGUAGAGGUAGGCGGAAUUCCUAGUGUAGCGGUGAAAUGCGUAGAUAUUAGGAGGAACACCAGUGGCGAAGGCGGCCUACUGGGCUUUAACUGACGCUGAGGCUCGAAAGCGUGGGGAGCAAACAGG
RNAcentral lists this ribosomal RNA (253 nucleotides) under uncultured bacterium. Its description in RNAcentral is "partial 16S ribosomal RNA". It matches the Rfam family "Bacterial small subunit ribosomal RNA", at positions 524 to 776 of the family's 1533-position model. The record is from RNAcentral.